RNAcentral lists this transfer RNA (534 nucleotides) under uncultured Alphaproteobacteria bacterium. Its description in RNAcentral is "partial 16S-23S ribosomal RNA intergenic spacer". The stretch from base 165 to 238 matches the Rfam family "tRNA". Lineage: Bacteria; Pseudomonadati; Pseudomonadota; Alphaproteobacteria. The record is from RNAcentral.
CCUCCUUUCUAAGGAAGACUGGAAGCAAUUCCGGUCUUUACUUGACACUAAAUCGAAGUCUGCUUUCUCAAGGCAGGCCGCUGCCGUCGACGCAUCCCUUUCCUGUGAUGGUAUUUUGGCGAGACAGAGCCAUGCUUGGUUCUGUCGUUUCGUCUGUCCGAACCGGGCUAGUAGCUCAGCUGGUUAGAGCGCGCGCUUGAUAAGCGUGAGGUCGGGGGUUCAAAUCCUCCCUGGCCCACCAAGUUGCUCUGACGGCUCGUUGCGGGGACAGCCGGCUGGAGCCGGUGACGAAACGAGAUCGCGACCGAUUUUCUCAAACGGGGGCAUAGCUCAGUUGGGAGAGCGCCUGCUUUGCAAGCAGGAGGUCGUCGGUUCGAUCCCGUCUGCCUCCACCAUCACACGCACAGAACGCAGUGCCAGGACGUGGCGCGGCAUUGUUCUUUGACAUCGUUUAUCGGAAUGUAAUGAGGUCUUUAAAGUCUAGAUUAUUCCGCGCCCUGCAUCUCUCAAAGGCAGGGUGGUAAGAAUGGGUAA